CUGAUAUUUAAGUGCUGAAUUCUGGACAUUCCUGCAUGUCUAUGCUUCCAGCAAACAACCAGGCACUAGCAUGCUUACAUGUGCUGGACACUCAAAGGUUAUGAUUUCAAAGGGUUGAUGGCACCACCGUUGCCUUGGAGGAGCUGUCUAAUGGAUGAGGUAGACAUGAGCAUUGUUUUCAGCAGACUCAAAUUCACUCAGAUUAAUAUUUGUAAUUGCUAGAAAGAGUAUCAUAAUAGCAUCUUGUCUCUCUCGGUAGGCCAAAAUACAUGUCAGUUUAUUUAAUUUUCUAAUUUUGGACUUUCAAACUUAUUUUCUAAUUAGAAAUAAUUUGAGGAAGUAGAGGUCCAUUACAUUUUUCAAAAAUGCAAUUUUCUUGCUGAUCUAUUAAUAGUAUAGUAUUUUUAAAUGUUUUACUAAGAAGGUAAUUUUAGGAUUAAAGGAUAAUUUAUGUAAUGUCAAAUAGCAGUAAUAAUAGUAAUUCAGUGAAUACAGUUCUUUCAUCAUUCAAUUUGUGAAAAGCAUGUUGCCAUAACUUAAUUUCAUGACUGGAAAUUGAUAUAGGAAUCUAGUUAGGCUUUUAAAAUAUAAAGUCAUAAAGACAAGAGUAGUCUAAAGAGCAUUUGAAGGGAGUAAUGUAUCAUAAAUUUGAAAGAGGUAUUU
This 663-nucleotide long non-coding RNA is filed under the name Bos taurus (domestic cattle). Its description in RNAcentral is "long non-coding RNA NONBTAT019254". Lineage: Eukaryota; Metazoa; Chordata; Mammalia; Artiodactyla; Bovidae. The record is from RNAcentral.